CCUACGGGUGGCAGCAGUGGGGAAUCUUGCACAAUGGGGGAAACCCUGAUGCAGCAACGCCGCGUGAAGGAAGACGGUUUUCGGAUUGUAAACUUCUGUUCUUAGUGAAGAAUAAUGACGGUAGCUAAGGAGCAAGCCACGGCUAACUACGUACCAGCAGCCGCGGUAAUACGUAGGUGGCAAGCGUUGUCCGGAAUUACUGGGUGUAAAGGGUGCGCAGGCGGGAAGCCAAGUCAGCUGUGAAAACUACGGGCUUAACUUGUAGACUGCAGUCGAAAAUGGUUAGCUUGAGUGAAGUAGAGGUUAGCGGAAUUUCGAGUGUAGCGGUGAAAUGCGUAGAUAUUCGGAGGAACACCGGUGGCGAAGGCGGGCAACUGGGCUUUAACUGACGCUGAGGCUCGAAAGUGUAGGGAGCAAACAGGAUUAGAUACCCUUGUAGUC
Molecule: ribosomal RNA, 441 nt
Filed under: uncultured bacterium
Lineage: Bacteria
Description: partial 16S ribosomal RNA
Rfam family: Bacterial small subunit ribosomal RNA
Source: RNAcentral